This 1355-nucleotide ribosomal RNA is filed under the name uncultured bacterium. Its description in RNAcentral is "bacterial SSU rRNA". It matches the Rfam family "Bacterial small subunit ribosomal RNA", at positions 28 to 1381 of the family's 1533-position model. The record is from RNAcentral.
AUUGAACGCUGGCGGCAGGCUUAACACAUGCAAGUCGAACGAUGACUAACUAGCUUGCUAGUUAUGAUUAGUGGCGGACGGGUGAGUAACAUUUAGGAAUCUGCCUAGUAGUGGGGGAUAGCUCGGGGAAACUCGAAUUAAUACCGCAUACGACCUACGGGUGAAAGGGGGCGCAAGCUCUUGCUAUUAGAUGAGCCUAAAUCAGAUUAGCUAGUUGGUGGGGUAAAGGCCCACCAAGGCGACGAUCUGUAACUGGUCUGAGAGGAUGAUCAGUCACACCGGAACUGAGACACGGUCCGGACUCCUACGGGAGGCAGCAGUGGGGAAUAUUGGACAAUGGGGGCAACCCUGAUCCAGCCAUGCCGCGUGUGUGAAGAAGGCCUUUUGGUUGUAAAGCACUUUAAGCAGGGAGGAGAGGCUAAUGGUUAAUACCCAUUAGAUUAGACGUUACCUGCAGAAUAAGCACCGGCUAACUCUGUGCCAGCAGCCGCGGUAAUACAGAGGGUGCGAGCGUUAAUCGGAAUUACUGGGCGUAAAGCGAGUGUAGGUGGCUCAUUAAGUCACAUGUGAAAUCCCCGGGCUUAACCUGGGAACUGCAUGUGAUACUGGUGGUGCUAGAAUAUGUGAGAGGGAAGUAGAAUUCCAGGUGUAGCGGUGAAAUGCGUAGAGAUCUGGAGGAAUACCGAUGGCGAAGGCAGCUUCCUGGCAUAAUAUUGACACUGAGAUUCGAAAGCGUGGGUAGCAAACAGGAUUAGAUACCCUGGUAGUCCACGCCGUAAACGAUGUCUACUAGCCGUUGGGGUCCUUGAGACUUUAGUGGCGCAGUUAACGCGAUAAGUAGACCGCCUGGGGAGUACGGCCGCAAGGUUAAAACUCAAAUGAAUUGACGGGGGCCUGCACAAGCGGUGGAGCAUGUGGUUUAAUUCGAUGCAACGCGAAGAACCUUACCUGGUCUUGACAUAGUGAGAAUCCUGCAGAGAUGCGGGAGUGCCUUCGGGAAUUCACAUACAGGUGCUGCAUGGCUGUCGUCAGCUCGUGUCGUGAGAUGUUGGGUUAAGUCCCGCAACGAGCGCAACCCUUUUCCUUAUUUGCCAGCGGGUUAAGCCGGGAACUUUAAGGAUACUGCCAGUGACAAACUGGAGGAAGGCGGGGACGACGUCAAGUCAUCAUGGCCCUUACGACCAGGGCUACACACGUGCUACAAUGGUAGGUACAGAGGGUUGCUACACAGCGAUGUGAUGCUAAUCUCAAAAAGCCUAUCGUAGUCCGGAUUGGAGUCUGCAACUCGACUCCAUGAAGUCGGAAUCGCUAGUAAUCGCAGAUCAGAAUGCUGCGGUGAAUACGUUCCCGGGCCU